RNAcentral lists this long non-coding RNA (1398 nucleotides) under Sus scrofa (pig). RNAcentral describes it as "lncRNA (ENSSSCG00035044245.1, ENSSSCG00055022060.1, ENSSSCG00065061141.1)". The record is from RNAcentral. Lineage: Eukaryota; Metazoa; Chordata; Mammalia; Artiodactyla; Suidae.
UUUUUAAUUCUCUCUCUUGUUGUUUUGAGGGGCUCUGGAAAACAUUCUUAAUACAUUUGUUCCUGUGUUUGUCUAUGUGUGCACAUGCGUGUGUAUGUUUAAUAGCCAGUGAGAUCAUUGAUUUACUUUUCAAAAAGUGGGAAAACAACUAAUUUCAAGAAAAGAUUCAGAGUUUCUCAACCAAGGCAACUUGGUUGACUUUAUAAAUCCCAUUGUUUGGCUAUGAAGUGAGGCACUUAAGUAUUAGAGAUAUAAAUAGCCUACUGAGAUUUUGUUCUUGGGCAUACCACAUGAAAUCAAAGAAAUAAAUCCUACUGCCUUUUACAAAUGGUAUUUUAUCUCAUUCUUCAGCCCAAACUCUACAUACUAUUGAGAAGAAGCCAGGUCUUUCAAGAUGCAUAUUGUGUGAUAGGCUGGAAGAAGCAAAACUAGAGUCAGUAAAGAGAUCAGUGGUUGUCAGGAACUGAAAGGUUGAGAGGGAAGAAUUGAACACAGAAGGGCACAGAGAACUUUAAAGAGUCAUGGAAAUGUUCUUUAUUGUGAUUGCAGUGGCACUUAUAUGAGAGUAUGUAAAUUAUACCUCAAUAAAAAUAACUUCAAACAAUUCAUACAAGCACUUUGGCGGUGGAUAACCAAAGUAAUUAAAUUUGGAAAAAACAGUUUUGAGCUUAUUGCUAUUUCUCCUCCCACUGAAUCUGCAUUCACUCACUCGCCAGAAUUUAAUCCUAUUCACAAUUGUUAUUUUAGCCAUCAGUGCUGAAUCAUGAUCACAAGGCACAUUGUUGAAUGUUAGUUCCUCCCCAUGAAGGAAGCCGUGUGCAGCCUGGCCCUCUUCCAUUUUCAGAGCAGUGCCCUUUCUGGCCCUUACAUUGCUGCUGUCACAUCACUGCUGACCACAGGGUACCUUUUCCAGUCUACAUCUGGCAAGCAAGAUGAGCUUUGGCUGAAUGACAAAUGUCUUCUCAGAUGGCAUGGGUGACAGGUGGAAAGCAUAAUUAAAAGCCAUCAAGCACUCCUUCCUCCUAGAUGCAGUAACUGUGUGUGUGCACAAAGGAGAUUCAUAUUUUGCAUUUUAGUAAUUCCAUCCAACUGAGCAAAAGCAUGUAUGGUUGCUCUUCUACUAAGGACAGUACUCGGAUUGUGCUAUUGUCCAGCACUGUCAUAAAGGAAUCUGCCAAGAUGAACCCGACUAGCAUCCAUGAGGACACAGGUUUAACCCCUAGCCUUGCUCAGUGGGUUAAGGAUCCAGCGUUGCCAGGAGCUGUGGUGUAGGUUGCAGAUGCAGCUCAAAACCCACAUUGCUGUGGCUGUGGUAGAGACUGGAGGCUAUCGUUCUGAUUGGACCCUGAGCCUGGAAACCUCCAUAUGCUGUGGGUACAGCCCUAAAAAGACAAAAAG